UCUUCAUACGUCAGAAGUUUUCUGAAAACCUUUCAUAAUAUUCCGUAGCCUUUUCCUUUCUUUGCUUUCGUUGCCGUGAUCUGAGCAGAGGUUGAUCGUCGAGGUUUUUAUCAUCAGUUGAUCCUGGCAUUCUUAUUUUUGAAUCGUGUGACUGAAUGAUCCAUGGAGU
This is a long non-coding RNA of Hibiscus syriacus, 169 nucleotides long. RefSeq lists it as uncharacterized. The transcript is spliced from 3 exons. Lineage: Eukaryota; Viridiplantae; Streptophyta; Magnoliopsida; Malvales; Malvaceae. The record is from RefSeq and is a predicted model, not a curated record.